CCUACGGGAGGCAGCAGCAAGGAAUAUUGGGCAAUGGGCGAAAGCCUGACCCAGCGACGCCGCGUGGGGGAAGAAGGCCUUCGGGUUGUAAACCCCUUUUCUCAGGGAAGAAUCAUGACGGUACCUGAGGAAUAAGUCUCGGCUAACUACGUGCCAGCAGCCGCGGUAAUACGUAGGAGGCAAGCGUUAUUCGGAUUUACUGGGCGUAAAGAGCGCGCGGGCGGCCCUUCAAGUUGGAUGUAAAAUCUCCCGGCUUAACUGGGAGGGACCGUUCAAUACUGUCGGGCUAGAGGGCAGCAGAGGGAAGUGGAAUCCCCGGUGUAGGGGUGAAAUGCGUAGAUAUCGGGAGGAACACCAGUGGCGAGGGCGGCUUUCGGGGCUGUACCUGACGCUGAGGCGCGAAGGCGGGGGGAGCAAACAGGAUUAGAUCCCCUGGUAGU
Molecule: ribosomal RNA, 440 nt
Filed under: uncultured Dehalococcoidaceae bacterium
Lineage: Bacteria; Bacillati; Chloroflexota; Dehalococcoidia; Dehalococcoidales; Dehalococcoidaceae
Description: partial 16S ribosomal RNA
Rfam family: Bacterial small subunit ribosomal RNA
Source: RNAcentral